This 440-nucleotide ribosomal RNA is filed under the name uncultured bacterium. Its description in RNAcentral is "partial 16S ribosomal RNA". It matches the Rfam family "Bacterial small subunit ribosomal RNA", at positions 338 to 795 of the family's 1533-position model. The record is from RNAcentral.
CCUACGGGUGGCAGCAGUGGGGAAUAUUGCACAAUGGGGGAAACCCUGAUGCAGCGACGCCGCGUGAGGGAAGAAGUAAUUCGUUAUGUAAAGCUCUAUCAGCAGGGAAGAAAAUGACGGUACCUGAGUAAGAAGCCCCGGCUAACUACGUGCCAGCAGCCGCGGUAAUACGUAGGGGGCAAGCGUUAUCCGGAUUUACUGGGGGUAAAGGGAGCGUAGACGGCAUGGCAAGUCUGGAGUGAAAGGCUGGGGCUCAACCCCCGGACUGCCCUUGAAACUGUACGGCUGGAGUGCAGGAGAGGUAGGUGGAAGUCGUGGUGUAGCGGUGAAAUGCGUAGAUAUUAGGAGGAACACCAGUUGCGAAGGCGGCUUACUAGACUGUAACUGACGUUGAUGCUCGAAAGCGUGGGGAGCAAACAGGAUUAGAUACCCCAGUAGUC